UACGUAGGGGGCGAGCGUUGUCCGGAUUUAUUGGGCGUAAAGAGCGUGUAGGCGGCUUGUCAAGUCCGGUGUGAAAUGUCACGGCUUAACCGUGAACCUGCAUUGGAAACUGACAGGCUAGAGUCUGGAUGAGGAAGGUAGAAUUCCUGGUGUAGCGGUGAAAUGCGCAGAUAUCAGGAGGAAUACCGGUGGCGAAGGCGGCCUUCUAGGACAGUACUGACGCUGAGACGCGAAAGCGUGGGGAG
Molecule: ribosomal RNA, 245 nt
Filed under: uncultured bacterium
Lineage: Bacteria
Description: partial 16S ribosomal RNA
Rfam family: Bacterial small subunit ribosomal RNA
Source: RNAcentral